RNAcentral lists this small RNA (94 nucleotides) under Chryseobacterium sp. FH1. RNAcentral's name for it is "Flavo-1 RNA". It matches the Rfam family "Flavo-1 RNA". The record is from Rfam by way of RNAcentral. Lineage: Bacteria; Pseudomonadati; Bacteroidota; Flavobacteriia; Flavobacteriales; Weeksellaceae.
CGUCAGCUGCAAAAGGGAUGGUAGUGGUUAUCCUUUUUCUUAGCGAAGGAAAAGGCUUGGGAGAAAAAGAUAUUAACGGACAGCCCGACCCGAG